This is a long non-coding RNA of Prunus dulcis (almond), 2430 nucleotides long. RefSeq lists it as uncharacterized. NCBI's taxonomy places the organism in Eukaryota, Viridiplantae, Streptophyta, Magnoliopsida, Rosales, Rosaceae. The record is from RefSeq and is a predicted model, not a curated record. The transcript is spliced from 3 exons.
UCACCCACUUUAACCCAACAACAAAGGUAAUCAAACUAGUUUCAACUUCGAUUCAUGGGAAUUGUAAACAACUUAUAAGGAAUCAAGUACCAUUCCUACCCCAGUUCUAGAUAGUUUAGCAAAUAACUUCAAUGAUGUUAACGAGCGAAUUUGUACCUAACGAAUUAAGACAUAAUCACACAAAUAACACAAGUGUUUGAGUGGUUCACCCAUAAUGGGGCUACAUCCACUAUAGCUUAUAACUUUGUAUUUAUAUUUGAAUAUGGAGAUUACAUUGUACAUGAGAGAGAUAUGGGGAGAGAGGCUUGAGAGUUCUAGUAGAAGAGAAAAUAGAAAGCUUGGGAGAGCCUUUGGACAGCUCUUGGAGAACUGAAGAAGUAACGGCUGAUCCCCUGGCUAGAAGGUGGUGAGCUCCCUUUUAUAGUCCAAGUUGUAUUAGACAAGGUUGAUUGAUGGCUGGGACACUUGCAUGAACACCCCCUUCAUUUGGGGUCUUGGGCCUUGAGAAGGCAUAUGAGGGGGCAUGGCUAGCUACUCUUUGUUUGGUGGAAUGUGACAUAGGACAAGCAAUGGGCUAUCCCUUAAUUGGUGGGAUUUGCUGAAGAAGGAAGGUUGCACUUCGAGUGCAUGACGAGCUGAGAGAGCUAAGGAGGAAAACGACCCGUCGUCUAACUACUACUUGCCCCUAUACCAACACUCCCUUUCACUUCUAUAAGACCGAGUUCUUCCAGAUCCUUCUGUUAAAGUGUGAAACUUUUUCCUUAAAAAAAAAUUGCGAAAGUUUUGAUUGUUUGCUUUUACUUGUGGCUAAUUUCAACCGGUUCUUCAUGCAGAGGCGCCUGCUCAACUGAUACGGAUUUUUUUUCCUCUCAAUUAUUAUUAUUUUGUUUUGUUUUGGGUUUCUAAGUUUACUAAAUUUAAACUAAAUGGUUAAGCAGUGAUGUGACCUUGGAGGUAUAGUUGUGUAUUGAAUUGGUUGAAUAUUGUAAUAACUUGACCAUUACUGCUUAGCCAUUACAAUAUUGUAAUAACUUAGUUUAAAUUUUUUUUAAAUGGAGAGGUAUAGUUGAAUAUUGUAAUAACUUGACCAUUACUGCUUAAGAUAUAUGAGUGACUUAAUACAACAUAGAGUUCUUAUGAGAUUCAAUUGUUUUAGUCUUCAUUAUCUCUAUGUGUUGAAUAAGUAUAUUGUGAAGAAUAGUCAUCAAAUGAUAAAUCGCCAAAAUAAUUUGCAUGUAGUUAACAUGCCACCCAUAUAGAUCCGAGAUUGGUUAACGUUGUCCAUAUAGCGAUAUUUUCUAUAUUUUUAAUAUUUAUCACGAUAUAUUGACCAAAUAUUGUCGAAGUAUGUGAAAAAUCAUCAACGUCGAUAUUUUCCAAUAUUAUCCUCAAUAUUACCGAUAAUUAUACGACGUGUAUAAAUAUGUUCCAAAAUAUCCUAGCUAGGCCCUAAAAAAAAGGAUAAUAUACUCAAUAUUUCGUCGAUAUUAUGAUAUUAUCGAUAUAUUAGACCUUGGUCCCAAUUAUCAAUUUAGUGAUGGAAGCAGACGUAGAUGAUAACUGUCAUAAAAGAGAAUCUUCAUAUAAUUGUCUUUUUUUUUCUUCAUUUAUACAGCUGGUAGGUACGUCAAGCAACCACCAUAUUGGCAAGCUUAAGCUGCUUCUCCAGAGGCAGGUAAUCCUUCAAAGACACACAGGUACAAUGCAUCACUCUCAAUAAGAAUACAGCCAUGGAAUUCUCACUUUUAUCAAUGGGUUGCAUGUCAGGCGGCAUAUCCUCACACCGUGCGAUAUGUAUAGCCCAGUUGUAAAUGCGUUCUGUCGAUGCAAACAGAGAAGGAACGACAAAUUCCGCAACUCCUCCCCAACUAGAGUCUGAGAGGAGAGAGGAAAGGGUGACUGGUAAAUCGCUCAGCACAGUAAGUUGGUCCAGAAUCAGAAGAGGCAUGUAUUUGCUCCAGCUACCAGAUAGCAACCCAAGAAAUUGCAAUGCCUGUAGGAGAAUAAGGUUAAUUUUUAAUAGAGAAAAGACACAGAAAUUCGAGCUGGCAAACAAGGAAAAUGGUUAAUAAUUCGCAUGAAUUUCAUUAGAAUUUCAAGGAAGGCAACAUCCCUCUAGUAGGGGUAUGCCAUUCACUCUACAAAACGUGUUAUCACCUACCAUGGAAGGAUAGCUAGAUACACAGCUAAUUUCAACUGCAUCAACAAGCCACUGUCUUUUGACACUUCCGUCUGCAUGUUGCAAAGCUGCUACAACGUCAACGAGCGCAUCCCACAUACCUGCAAAUAUGUAAAGUUCAAAGGCACCAGCAGCAUUGAAAUCCAACAACCAACUUUUCUGAGCCUUCCUAAAGCAUCUAACUGCCUCAGACCAUUCCUCUACAGUACGCAACUGACCUACUCCUCCAAUGGCAGGCAAUUGCAUUGCAG